CGGAAGGGACGCAUGUCUCUCCCGGCGGGCGCUAGCCUCCGACUGGCCUAGGGUGAGGGUGGCCCAUUAUGGGGGAGAUUAGAAACCCGCCAAGGGGCUGAGAGCGGGGUGGGGUGGGGGUUGCCGUAUACCAGUGGAUGCCAGGCGCGGAUGGAACUGAAGCGCGGAUUAGCAUGGCUGGCACCGCCCCCCUCUUGCGUCCCAAACCGCUCUUCCUAGCUGGUCUCCCCAUUCCACUCCAGCUUGGGCCACCGGAACUUCACGGCCCUGGUGAUCCUGGGACCCGGCUUUAACUCUUUUCGCCCCACUGUGGUCCCAGGCAGACUGGAACCAAACGGAAAGUCCCCUCCCUCGCCAGUAUGGUGGUGCUGGCCGGCUGGGGGCUGAAGCUGUGGUGGGGAGGGUGUCCAAAAGGAGUCUCAGCAGAGACAGCAACAAGAAAUCCUAGGGACUCAGGAGUCCUAUUGCCCUAGUGCUAAUAUCCCCCAAGCCCUUCCAAAAGGCCAGGGGUGGGCCUGGGUGAGGUCUGUGUUCCUCGAAAGAAAGGAAAAAGGAAGAAAUGUGGAGUUGAGACAGGAGAGACUGGCAAAAAUCAGAUCUGUGACCUCCUGUUUUUUUUUUCUUUUCCCUGUAUUUUGGCCGCGCUGUUCGGCAUGCAGGACGGUUCCCUGACCAGGGAUCAAACCCGGGCCUCCGCAGUGAAAGCUCUGAAUCCUAGCCACUAGGCCACCAGGAAACUCCCAGAUCUAAUGACUUUUGACCUAGAAUUGCUCCCGCUUCAUCCUUGAAUUGGGGACAGAUACCCAAGGCCUGAACCCCACCCACCAUGAUCUAUGGAGAGAAAAAGAGUAGGGGAUUCUGGCAAGAGACCUUAGUGCCAACUUGGUUCAGGCUCUUUGUGGUGGUGGCCCUGGACGGAUCAGCACACCUCUCCUGUAAAAUGGGUUUGCCGGGCUCCACAAAGAGGAGAGAUGAGAAGUAGAAUGAAGAAGAUUUGUGCAGAUUCAAAGACCCUAAAAAUCCAGUAUGCCUGGGAGGAGUGGGCCGCUCUAGUCAAACUACUUUAUCCCGCCUGCGCAAUCCAGCUGACUUCCGGCUUCCACUGCCCACGUGAUCAG
This is a long non-coding RNA of Globicephala melas (long-finned pilot whale), 1118 nucleotides long. RefSeq lists it as uncharacterized. Lineage: Eukaryota; Metazoa; Chordata; Mammalia; Artiodactyla; Delphinidae. The record is from RefSeq and is a predicted model, not a curated record.